CCUCUAGUGCAGAUCUUGGUGGUAGUACCAAAUAUUCAAAUGAGAACUUUGAAGACUGAAGUGGGGAAAGGUUCCACGUCAACAGCAGUUGGACGUGGGUUAGUCGAUCCUAAGAGAUGGGGAAGCUCCGUUUCAAAGGCCUGAUUUUCCAGGCCACCAUCGAAAGGGAAUCCGGUUAAUAUUCCGGAACCUGGAUAUGGAUUCUUCACGGCAACGUAACUGAGUGUGGAGACGUCGGCGUGAGCCCUGGGAGGAGUUAUCUUUUCUUCUUAACAGCUUAUCACCCCGGAAUUGGUUUAUCCGGAGAUGGGGUCUUAUGGCUGGAAGAGCCCAGCAUCUAUGCUGGGUCCGGUGCGCUUACGACGGCCCUUGAAAAUCCACAGGAAGGAAUAGUUUUCAUGCCAGGUCGUACUGAUAACCGCAGCAGGUCUCCAAGGUGAACAGCCUCU
This 449-nucleotide ribosomal RNA is filed under the name Eremothecium gossypii. RNAcentral's name for it is "eukaryotic LSU rRNA". It matches the Rfam family "Eukaryotic large subunit ribosomal RNA", at positions 1436 to 1884 of the family's 3401-position model. Lineage: Eukaryota; Fungi; Ascomycota; Saccharomycetes; Saccharomycetales; Saccharomycetaceae. The record is from RNAcentral.